This 500-nucleotide ribosomal RNA is filed under the name uncultured bacterium. Its description in RNAcentral is "partial 16S ribosomal RNA". It matches the Rfam family "Bacterial small subunit ribosomal RNA", at positions 29 to 523 of the family's 1533-position model. The record is from RNAcentral.
AUUGAACGCUGGCGGCAUGCCUUACACAUGCAAGUCGAGCGGCAGCGCGGGGGCAACCCUGGCGGCGAGCGGCGGACGGGUGAGUAAUACAUCGGAACGUGUCCUUUCGUGGGGGAUAACCAGUCGAAAGACUGGCUAAUACCGCAUGAGAUCUCACGAUGAAAGCGGGGGACCGCAAGGCCUCGCGCGAUUGGAGCGGCCGAUGUCGGAUUAGCUAGUUGGCGGGGUAAAAGCCCACCAAGGCGACGAUCCGUAGCUGGUUUGAGAGAACGACCAGCCACACUGGGACUGAGACACGGCCCAGACUCCUACGGGAGGCAGCAGUGGGGAAUCUUGGACAAUGGGGGCAACCCUGAUCCAGCCAUGCCGCGUGUGUGAAGAAGGCCUUCAGGUUGUAAAGCACUUUCGGCCGGAACGAAAUCGCGCGGAUUAAUAACCCGCGUGGAUGACGGUACCGGAAGAAGAAGCACCGGCUAACUACGUGCCAGCAGCCGCGGUAA